RNAcentral lists this ribosomal RNA (253 nucleotides) under uncultured bacterium. Its description in RNAcentral is "partial 16S ribosomal RNA". It matches the Rfam family "Bacterial small subunit ribosomal RNA", at positions 524 to 776 of the family's 1533-position model. The record is from RNAcentral.
UACGUAGGGGGCGAGCGUUGUCCGGAAUUAUUGGGCGUAAAGAGCGUGUAGGCGGUUCGGUAAGUCUGCCGUGAAAACCCAGGGCUCAACCCUGGGCGUGCGGUGGAUACUGCCGGGCUAGAGGGUGGUAGAGGCGAGUGGAAUUCCCGGUGUAGCGGUGAAAUGCGCAGAUAUCGGGAGGAACACCAGUAGCGAAGGCGGCUCGCUGGGCCACACCUGACGCUGAGACGCGAAAGCGUGGGGUGCAAACAGG